GAUGAACGCUUGCGGUGUGCCUAAUACAUGCAAGUCGAGCGAACAGACGAGGAGCUUGCUCCUCUGACGUUAGCGGCGGACGGGUGAGUAACACGUGGAUAACCUACCUAUAAGACUGGGAGAACUUCGGGAAACCGGAGCUAAUACCGGAUAAUAUAUUGAACCGCAUGGUUCAAUAGUGAAAGACGGUUUUGCUGUCACUUAUAGAUGGAUCCGCGCCGCAUUAGCUAGUUGGUAAGGUAACGGCUUACCAAGGCAACGAUGCGUAGCCGACCUGAGAGGGUGAUCGGCCACACUGGAACUGAGACACGGUCCAGACUCCUACGGGAGGCAGCACUCGCGAAUCCUCCGCGAUGCGCGACAGCCUGACGGUGCGAUGCCGCCUGAGUCAUUAAAGUCUUCCGAUCGUAGAACUCUGUUAUUUGGGAAGAAGAAAUGUGUAACUAACUAUGCACAUCUUGAAGGUACCUACACCUAAGACCACGCUCACUUCAGUC
Molecule: ribosomal RNA, 497 nt
Filed under: uncultured bacterium
Lineage: Bacteria
Description: partial 16S ribosomal RNA
Rfam family: Bacterial small subunit ribosomal RNA
Source: RNAcentral